GUGACGGCGUACCUUUUGUAUAAUGGGUCAUCGACUUGGUCUAUCUAGCAAGCUUAAGCCGUUAGGUGUAGGCGCAGCGAAAGCGAGUCUUAAUAGGGCGUUGAGUUAGAUGGAUCAGACCCGAAACCGAGUGAUCUAGGCAUGACCAGGAUGAAGGUAAGGUAACACUUGCUGGAGGUCCGAACCCACACCUGUUGAAAAAGGUCGGGAUGAGUUGUGCCUAGGGGUGAAAGGCCAAUCAAACUCGGAGAUAGCUGGUUCUCCGCGAAAUCUAUUUAGGUAGAGCGUCAUCCGAAUACCCCGGGGGGUAGAGCACUGGAUGGGUAAUGGGGCCCCACAGGCUUACUGAUCCUAACCAAACUCCGAAUACCCGGGAGUACUAGAUGGCAGACACACGGCGGAUGCUAACGUCCGUCGUGGAGAGGGAAACAACCCUGACCUACAGCUAAGGCCCCCAAUUCGUGGCUAAGUGGGAAAGCAGGUGGGACGACCAAAACAACCAGGAGGUUGGCUUAGAAGCAGCCAUCCUUUAAAGAUAGCGUAACAGCUCACUGGUCUAAUCAAGUUGUCCUGCGGCGAAGAUGUAACGGGGCUCAAGCCACGAGCCGAAGCUUAGGAUGCCGUAAGGCAUGGUAGCGGAGCGUAGUGUGACAUAGAACUCGCCCUCUUCUGCAUCCUCCGGGAUGUAAUGGAGGGCAGGGUUCUUUCUGUGAAGCCCGGGCGUGAGCCAUCGGGUGGAGAGAUCACUAGCGAGAAUGAUGACAUGAGUAGCGACAAAGAGUGUGAGAGACACUCUCGCCGAAAGUCCAAGGGUUCCUGCUUAAAGCUAAUCUGAGCAGGGUAAGCCGGCCCCUAAGGCGAGGCCGAAAGGCGUAGUCGAUGGGAACCAGGUUAAUAUUCCUGGGCCAUGUGGUGGUGACGGAUCGCAGAUGUAGUUCUUCCUUAUCGGAUUGGGAGGGCUGCUGAGCGGUCCCUGGAAAUAGCCCCACUUUAGGACCGUACCCUAAACCGACACAGGUGGACUGGUAGAGCAUACCAAGGCGCUUGAGAGAACGAUGUUGAAGGAACUCGGCAAAAUACCUCCGUAAGUUCGCGAGAAGGAGGCCCGGUUCCUAGGCAACUAGGGGCUGGGGGCACAAACCAGGGGGUGGCGACUGUUUACUAAAAACACAGGGCUCUGCGAAGUCGCAAGACGACGUAUAGGGUCUGACGCCUGCCCGGUGCCUGAAGGUUAAAAGGAGGGGUGAGAGCUCCGAAUUGAAGCCCAGGUAAACGGCGGCCGUAACUAUAACGGUCCUAAGGUAGCGAAAUUCCUUGUCGGGUAAGUUCCGACCUGCACGAAUGGCGUAACGACUUCCCCGCUGUCUCCAACAUCGACUCAGCGAAAUUGAAUUGCCUGUCAAGAUGCAGGCUUCCCGCGGUUAGACGGAAAGACCCCGUGCACCUUUACUACAGCUUCACACUGGCAUCAGGCACAACAUGUGCAGGAUAGGUGGUAGGCUUCGAAGCAGGGACGCCAGUUCCUGUGGAGCCUUCCUUGAGAUACCACCCUUGUUCUGCUUGAUGUCUAACCGCGAUCCGUUAUCCGGAUCCGGGACCCUGUGUGGCGGGUAGUUUGACUGGGGCGGUCGCCUCCUAAAGCGUAACGGAGGCGCGCGAAGGUUGGCUCAGAGCGGUCGGAAAUCGCUCGUUGAGUGCAAUGGCAGAAGCCAGCCUGACUGCAAGACUGACAAGUCGAGCAGAGUCGAAAGACGGCCAUAGUGAUCCGGUGGUCCCAAGUGGGAGGGCCAUCGCUCAACGGAUAAAAGGUACGCCGGGGAUAACAGGCUGAUACUGCCCAAGAGUCCAUAUCGACGGCAGUGUUUGGCACCUCGAUGUCGGCUCAUCUCAUCCUGGGGCUGGAGCAGGUCCCAAGGGUACGGCUGUUCGCCGUUUAAAGAGGUACGUGAGCUGGGUUUAGAACGUCGUGAGACAGUUCGGUCCCUAUCUGCCGUGGGUGUAGGAUACUUGAGAGGAGUUGCCCCUAGUACGAGAGGACCGGGGUGAACGAUCCACUGGUGGACCAGUUGUCGUGCCAACGGCAGUGCUGGGUAGCUAUGAUCGGACAGGAUAACCGCUGAAGGCAUCUAAGCGGGAAGCCCCCCUCAAAACAAGGUAUCCCUGAGGGCCGUGGAAGACCACCACGUCGAUAGGCCGGAGAUGUAAGCAUGGUAACAUGUUCAGUUGACCGGUACUAAUGGCCCGAUAGGCUUGAUUUGAUCCAG
RNAcentral lists this ribosomal RNA (2264 nucleotides) under Salipiger sp. HF18. Its description in RNAcentral is "partial 23S ribosomal RNA". It matches the Rfam family "Bacterial large subunit ribosomal RNA", at positions 593 to 2925 of the family's 2925-position model. The record is from RNAcentral. Lineage: Bacteria; Pseudomonadati; Pseudomonadota; Alphaproteobacteria; Rhodobacterales; Roseobacteraceae.